CGGUACCCUGACCGUGCUAAGGUAGCAUAAUCAUUUGCCUCUUAAUUAGUGGCUAGUAUGAAUGGACACACGAAAAUUUAACUGUCUCUAUUUUAAGGCUCAUAAAAAUUAGUCCUCAAGUGCAAAAACUUGAAUACCUUUAAAGGACAAGAAGACCCUGUAGAUCCUAAAAUUCUUAUAUAUUCAAAACCAAAAAUUUAUUUACAAUCCCCGCAAUUAUAAAAUUUUUAGUUGGGGCAACUAGAAUAUACCCAAACCUAUUCUUCUUAUUUAGGCACUGAGGCCCUUCAACUGAUCCACCUUAGUGAUCAUACGCACAGGUUACCUCAGGGAUAACAGACUAAUCCUUCUUAAAAGCCCUUAUUAACAGAAGGGAUUGGCACCUCGAUGUUGGCUUAGGGCCCCCUUAAGGCGCAGAAGCUUUACUGGUAGGUUUGUUCAACCUUUAAAGCCCUACGUGAUC
RNAcentral lists this ribosomal RNA (463 nucleotides) under Aricidea simplex. RNAcentral describes it as "partial large subunit ribosomal RNA". It matches the Rfam family "Archaeal large subunit ribosomal RNA", at positions 2011 to 2674 of the family's 2987-position model. Lineage: Eukaryota; Metazoa; Annelida; Polychaeta; Paraonidae. The record is from RNAcentral.